CUCGUCACCCCUCUUUGGAUAAAGCCUUUUGGCUGUUACGAAUUGAAAGCCUUAACAUCCUAUUAUUUGCUUUGGAGUAUGAGGUAUGAGGAAUUCUGUGUUUUUGGGAGAUUUUGGAGAACCCUGAGCUUUGGAAUCUGUAAAUUUGAAGAUUUGGAGAAGAAGAACUGUUGGGUUAGUCUUCAUUGAAAAUGGAUUGAGGAAUUCGAGUCACUGUGGGUGGAAGAAAACUGCGAGGAGUUGACUCUCGGUUUGGAAAAGAAGACUUGGACUUGAGCGUGUGCACAUGGAAUUGGACGAAGCAUUGAAAGUCGGAAACAAAGCCAUGUUUGGGCGAGCACUCCAAUUCCAGUGUGCAGGUUUCGAGCAUGUGGUCAGGGAGCGUACAGGGGAGGCACAUGGUCCGACUUGGCCCGUGAGACCAAGCAUGAGAAGAUUGCAGCUUUGCUUUUUAAGCAUGCAUAAGAAGACCAAAAGCUGAAGUAUAAUUGCAGGUCAUGGUCGUCCACAUUCAUCUCCUUGAUAUGCACAUCCUUGCUGUCAAAAACGUUUGGUCAGAAGAAAUUGAAUCUGGUUUUCCAUUUUCUCCUUUAUGAAACACUUGCUGUCGAACCAGAAAAGGAAGAACAUCUUCUUCUCAUAGAACCCUUGCUGUCAAAGAAGAAAGGAGGAAGCAACUAUAUUAGUUCUCUAUCUCACCUUGCUGUCCAAUGUUGAACACGGUAGUGGGAAGCAAUUGGUUCCCAUCUCGCCUUGCUGUCAAAGAUUAGCUUUCGAUCUAGUCUUGUUGUCCACUCAGUGCAGUCAUGAAGACCUUGUUGUCUAAGAUGGAAGUGGGAACUGAAGAAUAUUAUCAUGCACCUUCAUCUCCUUCACAUGCCUAAACUUUCGGUCGAAAAACAAAAGCAAAAGCAACUGCAUCUGGUUUCAUAUUUUUCUUCUUCAUGGAGAACGAGUUGUGGAAUCAUGUGGUCUUCUUCAGUUUCACUUUCAAGUCUCAGUGAACCUGCAAGUCUCAUGUGGUCUUCACAUGACAGAAAGCAUGAUAGUUUGUUUAAUUGCAAGUAUGGAUAUCUUGCUGUCGAAGUCAGGUGGCCUUGUUCAUCUUCAUGAAAACCUUGCUGUCAAAGAUCAAAAAGGGAGACAAUUGCAGCAAGGUUCUCCAUCUUAGCUCACUGUCCGGUCCCUCCUCGUGACUCUACUCCAACAAAGCUGAAGGAAUCUUGGUGAUUUCUUCCUCCUAUAUAUAUAGGAGUUCUGUGGUUCUUCAAUGUAUUGAGAAUAGUUUGAUUUUCAAUCCUUUGGUUGUAAAAGAGUUAGUCUCUUUGUUGCUCUGUUUUGUUCCAUGUUGAAAACAGAUUGUAAAACAACUAAGUGAGUCUGUCCAGUAAGGAUUGCAGCAGUCAUUGCAAUCCCAGAGUUAAUGUGUAAUCAGUUUUGAUUAGUGAAUCAUUGGGUUCUCAAGA
Long non-coding RNA from Rosa rugosa (rugosa rose), 1466 nucleotides. RefSeq lists it as uncharacterized. The record is from RefSeq and is a predicted model, not a curated record. Lineage: Eukaryota; Viridiplantae; Streptophyta; Magnoliopsida; Rosales; Rosaceae. The transcript is spliced from 5 exons.